CCCCCCGAAUGGGGAAACCCAGUGUGAUUCGUCACACUAUCAUUAACUGAAUCCAUAGGUUAAUGAGGCGAACCGGGGGAACUGAAACAUCUAAGUACCCCGAGGAAAAGAAAUCAACCGAGAUUCCCCCAGUAGCGGCGAGCGAACGGGGAGGAGCCCAGAGCCUGAAUCAGCAUGUGUGUUAGUGGAAGCGUCUGGAAAGGCGCGCGAUACAGGGUGACAGCCCCGUACACAAAAAUGCACAUGCUGUGAGCUCGAUGAGUAGGGCGGGACACGUGGUAUCCUGUCUGAAUAUGGGGGGACCAUCCUCCAAGGCUAAAUACUCCUGACUGACCGAUAGUGAACCAGUACCGUGAGGGAAAGGCGAAAAGAACCCCGGCGAGGGGAGUGAAAAAGAACCUGAAACCGUGUACGUACAAGCAGUGGGAGCCCCACCACUAAGCCAGUGGUGAACUCCACAUACGCAUCCUUUGCUGAGGAUACGGUUAACGGAGCGCAAGCGACGUUCAACCGCAAAAGAAGCAGAGGGGGCUUAGUGGUGGGGUGACUGCGUACCUUUUGUAUAAUGGGUCAGCGACUUAUAUUCUGUAGCAAGGUUAACCGWAUAGGGGAGCCGGAGGGAAACCGAGUCUUAACCGGGCGUUAAGUUGCAGGGUAUAGACCCGAAACCCGGUGAUCUAGCCAUGGGCAGGUUGAAGGUUGGGUAACACUAACUGGAGGACCGAACCGACUAAUGUUGAAAAAUUAGCGGAUGACCUGUGGCUGGGGGUGAAAGGCCAAUCAAACCGGGAGAUAGCUGGUUCUCCCCGAAAGCUAUUUAGGUAGCGCCUCGUGAAUUCAUCUCCGGGGGUAGAGCACUGUUU
This 863-nucleotide ribosomal RNA is filed under the name Salmonella enterica. RNAcentral describes it as "partial 23S ribosomal RNA". The record is from RNAcentral. Lineage: Bacteria; Pseudomonadati; Pseudomonadota; Gammaproteobacteria; Enterobacterales; Enterobacteriaceae.